GACGCUUAUCACCUGUGUAAGAUCAUUACUCGAUGAGGACCAAAGAGAUUGGGACGUUCAUGUUCAACAAAUAGUAUGUGCAAUAAACACUGCAAAGCACGAAACUCUUGGAUGUAGUCCUUACUACUGCAACUUUGGAAGGGAUCACAUUCUGUACACAGAUCAAUACAUUUCCGCCAAAAUUAAUUCGGAUGAAGACCUCGCAGUGGCCCAAAAGGCAAGAAUAAAGUCUGUGCAUAACAUUCAGCAUUUUGUAUUAACCAGGAUCAAAGCAGCUCAUGAUAACAGCAAGAAACGCUAUGACCUAAGAGCUCGGAAUAGAACGUUCGCCGAAGGGGAAAUAGUGUGGAGAAGAUCAUUCGAACUGUCCAACGCAGCGCAGCAUCGAACGAAAAAACUAGGAGCAAAGUUCAUACCAUGCAUCGUAAGACAAGCGCAAGGCUGUAAUAACUACUUACUAGAAGACAUCAAGACAUCAAAAACUGGCGUUUAUCACGCAAAGGAUAUCAAACCAGACUAAAACCAACGAAUCGAGCUAUGUCCACAGCACCCUAUCCGCUGUCAACAAGGAGCAUUUGCCGAAGAAAACAUCGUUUUGUAUGAAGGAAAAACUGAAUAAGACUUCCUGAUAAUUCAUCAUCCAUACACGAUCAAUCUCCAAAACAAAUUUUAUCCAGCUAUGUAAGCACACCAACUGCCGACUAUGAGCAUAACGCCACAGAAACAUGCUAGCUGCUGACUCGAAGGCCCAACAACUCUAAAUGAAACCUCGUCGCAGCAAGCAUUCCUCUCGUACCUCAACGUCUUCAGGAUCCACGAAACGCCAUAUUUUUAUGAGUAUCGAGCGAUAUAAAUUCCCUAUCAAGCCAACAAACAGAAGGAGAGCAGCAGCAUAUGUAAUUCGAGAGUUCAAUUCAACAAAAACUAUUCACACCAUUUAAAGAUCACUCACUUAAGUCUGGAAUACUAAUAAACGCCAUAUUUAACGCUAGUGCUUAUCAAACUCAACAUGACUCAAUACAUACUACGUAACAUGUUUGAUUCAUAAAUCAUCCAAAACGUAUUUUCUCAGCAAAAUUUCUGGCGCCCAACUACAAAAUCGUAACUCAGAUGUUGGAGACGCGAUUGGCCCUAGAAUAAUGUAAGAUAAGAAAGUAGGCUUAAUGAUAUUCCGCAGCGCAGCAGCCGCGGUGAAGAAGUGAAUUUCUUGAAUAGAUCUGGCAUACAAAAUGUAAAUCAAGAAGAAGUAUACCGUUAGCUAAUAAGUUCUGUUUUGAAGUACGGUAGUUUAGUAGCACACAAUACUCGAUGUCCUAGGCAAACCUCAGGAGAAGAUUUUUCGAUAUUGUAUAGAGUAAGAAUCAAUUAGCCUUUCCAAGAUCUGAGCAUCACCAGAUAGACGAAAUUUUUGCGAAUGCAACAUUCGCAAAAAUUUCGUAGCCGUUUGAAUGAUGUUGUGUUACAUGAAUGAGAUUAUGCCGACAAAAUGCAACCCAAAAUUUUCACUGUGUAUCCCGCAAGACAAAUACAGCCCUCGAAUACAUGUUGAUGGUUUCUCUCUUCAUUCCCAACAACCAACGCUGACCAUUACUCCCAAAUGACCAUCACACUAGCACAUACAUGCGCGCGAUCACAAGAUCGGACUCACUGAUCCAACAAGCCAUCACUAUACCUGAUGCCAAGUUGGCGUGUGGCAAUAAGUGCAUGGUGUCAUCAUAAAGUGACCAUAAAUCAAAUGCAAGUGGCCGAAAACGCGGAAUAGUUUAUUGCCAAGAAGUCGAUGCAUGUGACUUAAAGAGUGAGCAUUAUCGGAACAAAUUCUUUUCUGAUGCAAGGAACGGCCAUGAUAGGCAAUUGAUCCACGUGCUUUUUGCAAAGUGUUGAUCGGCCGCGGCACAAAUCAACUGAAAAGAUCUUCGAUUAAGCUCGAACAGCAAUCCCAGAAGAAAUCAAUGCAGGCACACUAGAAC
Armigeres subalbatus is the source of this 1970-nucleotide long non-coding RNA. RefSeq lists it as uncharacterized. The transcript has 3 exons. NCBI's taxonomy places the organism in Eukaryota, Metazoa, Arthropoda, Insecta, Diptera, Culicidae. The record is from RefSeq and is a predicted model, not a curated record.